GCAUACUUCAGCGGACAUCCUUGGCUCGUAAGUGACUUUCUCUGGGGAUAAAAGCUCUAUGUCAAAUUCGUAGUCGCAUGUCGUUGAGAAGCAUCAAGUCUGACGUGUUAAGUUACCGGUUUCCGCUACACCCGUCUGGUGGUGUGUGAAUAGCAAGGACUUAAAGAGUGACACGGUAGGAAUUCUCCGUAAUGAUCAAGAAUCCAAUUACUGGACUUAAGAGGUGACGUGGCAGGAAUUCCCAGAACAUCAUCGGUAACUAUUUUUCCUUCAGAAAUAAUCAGAAUCGAUGGGUCCGAGUUUGUGAAUUGCAGUCUUGUACUAGUUUCCACACGUCAUAUAAAUCUGCUCCAGUGUACGCAAACGACCGAAUGAUUGACUACCGAGGAGCAGUAGGCUGAUCUGAUGUAAGUGUAGGUAGCCUCGACUGAGCUGAAAUACUGACACGGAUUUUGCUUGAAUACCCUCGACUUAGUUAACGGCAUUUUCUUUUGUGCUGACGGUUGUCUGGUUUUCAUUCACUUUGUUGUGUACGUGAAUGUAGUUUUUUUUCCUUUUUUUAAUUUUUUAAUUGAAGGGACUAAUUUCUGCCUCCGAAUUACUGAAGAAUGCGAAUUAUGGUAACUCGUCUGGGCAUGAUUGUGUAAUAAAGGUAUAAAAUUUG
Macrobrachium nipponense is the source of this 664-nucleotide long non-coding RNA. RefSeq lists it as uncharacterized. The record is from RefSeq and is a predicted model, not a curated record. The transcript is spliced from 3 exons. NCBI's taxonomy places the organism in Eukaryota, Metazoa, Arthropoda, Malacostraca, Decapoda, Palaemonidae.